UUUAUGGAGAGUUUGAUCCUGGCUCAGGAUGAACGCUGGCGGCGUGCCUAAUACAUGCAAGUCGAGCGAACAGAUAAGGAGCUUGCUCCUUUGACGUUAGCGGCGGACGGGUGAGUAACACGUGGGUAACCUACCUAUAAGACUGGAAUAACUCCGGGAAACCGGGGCUAAUGCCGGAUAACAUGUUGAACCGCAUGGUUCUACAGUGAAAGACGGUCUUGCUGUCACUUAUAGAUGGACCCGCGCCGUAUUAGCUAGUUGGUGGGGUAACGGCCUACCAAGGCGACGAUAC
This 292-nucleotide ribosomal RNA is filed under the name Staphylococcus pseudintermedius. RNAcentral describes it as "partial 16S ribosomal RNA". It matches the Rfam family "Bacterial small subunit ribosomal RNA", at positions 1 to 282 of the family's 1533-position model. The record is from RNAcentral. Lineage: Bacteria; Bacillati; Bacillota; Bacilli; Caryophanales; Staphylococcaceae.